This 497-nucleotide ribosomal RNA is filed under the name uncultured bacterium. RNAcentral describes it as "partial 16S ribosomal RNA". It matches the Rfam family "Bacterial small subunit ribosomal RNA", at positions 28 to 507 of the family's 1533-position model. The record is from RNAcentral.
GAUGAACGCUGGCGGCGUGCCUAAUACAUGCAAGUCGAGCGAACGGACGAGAAGCUUGCUUCUCUGAUGUUAGCGGCGGACGGGUGAGUAACACGUGGAUAACCUACCUAUAAGACUGGGAUAACUUCGGGAAACCGGAGCUAAUACCGGAUAAUAUUUUGAACCGCAUGGUUCAAUAGUGAAAGACGGUCUUGCUGUCACUUAUAGAUGGAUCCGCGCUGCAUUAGCUAGUUGGUAAGGUAACGGCUUACCAAGGCAACGAUGCAUAGCCGACCUGAGAGGGUGAUCGGCCACGCUGGAACUGAGACACGGUCCAGACUCCUACGGGAGGCAGCAGUAGGGAAUCUUCCGCAAUGGGCGAAAGCCUGACGGAGCAACGCCGCGUGAGUGAUGAGGGUCUUCGGAUCGUAAAACUCUGUUAUUAGGGAAGAACAUAUGUGUAAGUAACUGUGCACAUCUUGACGGUACCUAAUCAGAAAGCCACGGCUAACUACGUG